AGAAGGAACAACCACAGUGGCAGUAGCCAUCUCUAGAGCCCUGGAUUCAGCUCCCGCAGUAACUAAGGAGCUCUCCAUCUGCAGGGGCCUGGAUGCUUUGGGGCGGG
Molecule: microRNA precursor, 107 nt
Filed under: Canis lupus familiaris (dog)
Lineage: Eukaryota; Metazoa; Chordata; Mammalia; Carnivora; Canidae
Also listed under: 1 other name
Description: mir-8834 microRNA precursor family
Rfam family: mir-8834 microRNA precursor family
Source: Rfam by way of RNAcentral